RNAcentral lists this small nucleolar RNA (86 nucleotides) under Penicillium decumbens. RNAcentral's name for it is "A. fumigatus snoRNA Afu_294". It matches the Rfam family "A. fumigatus snoRNA Afu_294". The record is from Rfam by way of RNAcentral. Lineage: Eukaryota; Fungi; Ascomycota; Eurotiomycetes; Eurotiales; Aspergillaceae.
UUGCCUGAUGAACCCUAAAAUUCGCUGUGUUCUUUCCGAAUCACAUUGACGAAACAAAUUUUAUAUUCACCUUGGAGAACUGAUCC